This 188-nucleotide ribosomal RNA is filed under the name uncultured Prevotella sp. RNAcentral describes it as "partial 16S ribosomal RNA". It matches the Rfam family "Bacterial small subunit ribosomal RNA", at positions 339 to 524 of the family's 1533-position model. Lineage: Bacteria; Pseudomonadati; Bacteroidota; Bacteroidia; Bacteroidales; Prevotellaceae. The record is from RNAcentral.
CUAGGGGAGGCAGCAGUAGGGAAUAUUGGGCAAUGGGCGGAAGCCUGAACCAGCCAAGUAGCGUGCAGGAUGACGGCCCUAUGGGUUGUAAACUGCUUUUAUACAGGAAUAAAGUUAGCCACGUGUGGUUAUUUGUAGGUACUGUAUGAAUAAGGACCGGCUAAUUCCGUGCCAGCAGCCGCGGUAAU